Molecule: ribosomal RNA, 301 nt
Filed under: uncultured bacterium
Lineage: Bacteria
Description: partial 16S ribosomal RNA
Rfam family: Bacterial small subunit ribosomal RNA
Source: RNAcentral
CAGCCGCCACGGGAAUACGUAGGGUGCAAGCGUUAAUCGGAAUUACUGGGCGUAAAGCGUGCGCAGGCGGUUUUGUAAGACAGGCGUGAAAUCCCCGGGCUCAACCUGGGAAUGGCGCUUGUGACUGCAAAGCUAGAGUGCGGCAGAGGGGGAUGGAAUUCCGCGUGUAGCAGUGAAAUGCGUAGAUAUGCGGAGGAACACCGAUGGCGAAGGCAAUCCCCUGGGCCUGCACUGACGCUCAUGCACGAAAGCGUGGGUAGCAAACAGGAUUAGAUACCCCCGUAGUCCCUGUCUCUUAUAA